CGUUGCAUGUAAUUCAAUUUCUAUUGGCGUGCAAUCUAAUAGCUUUUCGGGUUUUGAUUUUAUAUGGCUUACGGUAUUAGAAAUGGCUGCAAGUUAUAUGACUCCCACAUUUUUGACAUUUGGCUUCUGAAGGAAGUCAUUUUUCGGCCUAUGGUUUUGCGUAAAUCUUUUGAUUCAACAUUGUUACUUAGAAAAAGACUUGCAUCAAAUCUCAACUUCAGGAGCUCCUUCCAUUUGAUUGGUUCUCAUGUUUUUGUCUUUAUUUCCUAUGUUCUUGGUGAAUCCUGUCCUCGAGUAAAAGAUACCAUCUUUCCAAAUACCCCCUAGGCAUAAAAAUAGUGAGAACUAGAAUAAAGAGUAUUUCCUAUUCUGUUUUCCCCGGUAUACGGUUCAUUUACUUAGGACACUGUACUAAUACUUUGCGUACGGAUUCACCCAACUUUCUUUUCUUAAAUUAUUAUGUCGGUAUAGAACAAAGUUGGCAAUAAUAUUUUCUUUGAUAGAAAGAAGAAGGUUGCUUUCUUUGUCUUGUUCGUUUUAGGUUAAGUCAUUGAUUUUCUUCAUUUGAUUUGUUGUUUAGUAUAUAUAACGCAACCUUCAAACGAAAAGACGUCUUCUUUAUCAUAACUGAAAGAUGUUAUUAUCGAUAUACACGCACUACAUUUUAGAUGUACCCUAUCAACAUUCCAAUACCAUAUCUGUACCUGUACCUUUACCCGUGUACAUGCUUCAUUGGAUAUAAUCAACUCUGUAUUGGUUUAAAAAAAGUUUCUUUAAAUUCCCAUUUCUCUUAAGUAGCACUUAUUUUUUCCAUGGUUUUUAGGGUUUUGACGAAGUUGAGAAACAAGCAGAUUGGUCUGCCUACGUGAGUAAUGCUAGUAUGGAAGUUUGUCAAAACCUUGACUUGUACGUAUUUGUAUUGGUUAGGACCUAGUGUUGCAUUAGUUUUGAAGUGUUUAUGGGAUGUUUGCAUUGUGUCCAUUACUGUCUCAUAGUUCUUCGCUGAUUUUUACUAUAUUUUCUUUGCUAAUUUAUUUUUAAUUACUAGACUCCCCAGUUUCAGAAUCCUACUCUAGAAGUUAUAUUCUUACUUCUUAGGAAGAAGUUGUAGCUCUCUGCCAUGCUUUUGCCUUUUUCUUUUUUCAUUUGGCAUAUUGUGCAUAUUACUGCCUAGAAAAUGAUUCUUUAGUCUAGGUUGACCCUUGCUUUUUUGUCUGGUUGGAAGAGUUGCGGGCAACAAUUAGCAGCCAAAGAAGAUUCAGUUCUUGUAACUAUUGUCAACUCUAAUAUGCAAGUUUUGCAUACACGCAUUGCAGCUUUCUUUCUUUAUUUUUCUUGUGGUGGGGAAGCAAAGGUUUUGUUCACCAAAAGGAGCAAAGUUUUGGGGAGUUAAAUCCAAUUCCCCAAAAGGCUUAGCUUCCCAAGCACCUCUUUCAAGUUGGAAACUAGGAAUUCAACCUACGUGAAAAGUUCUACAUGAGAUGCAAUACUCCUCUCACUUUAGAAAAAAAUAAAUGGGCAAGGGAGCAAUUUAGGAAAUAUCAUAUUAUAAGCAAGGGAGCAUUUUAGAAACUUUUGGGCCACCUGAAGUUUUCCAAGCAAUUGGCCACUUACAAUUUUUGCUGCUAUGCUGAAAAGUUAUAUAUGAGAUGUUGUAAUACACGUGUCACUUCGAAAAAGGAUUUAUAUGCAAGUGAGCAAUUUAGAAAUUCUUGGGCCACUUGAAGUUCUCAAAGCAAAAGGUCACUUUUCAAUUUCCCCCAAACUUUGUGAAUCUGUUUAUGAGUUUGCCCACCAUCAAAUCCUUCUUGCUUUGAGCUAAACCUCCAUACUAAAUCACCUUUCAUAUCUGUGAUUUCUUUGAUCUACACUAUCACUAAUUACUUUGAUCUGCACCAUAUUUUGAUCACCUUCAAUAAAUCUAGUUUUUGCUAAAGUUAGUGCUAUCUCACUCAAACUGAACUUAAAUGACUUGAACUUGCAUCAGUUGGUCUAUUAACUGAAUAGCAGAUCGGAGUUUAGAGUCAAACAUGUGUUUAUGCUCUGAUCAGGAAAUGAAAUGCAAUGAGAAAGUUUUUCACCGUUUAAUUGUGACAGAUAUGACAUGCAUGGCAUUCCUUUGUGCACUUUUCUACCGAAUCUAUAAAUAUCUUUAUGCUUCUCUUUUUAUUUUUAUUUUAUCCGUUUAUGCUUCUCUUCCAAACAUCUCUUUCUGACGUACUCAAGGUAAGAAUCUCUAAAUGUCUUAUUCACCUUCUGUAUGCCUAGAACUCUGGAGUUUGAAACAUCACUUAUCUUUGACCGAAUAGUUCUCACCAAGCAAUGGUAUGUUGAUGUGGUAGCACAAUUCAAACUAAUGCAUUUCCAAUUGAAUUGGCUGGAGGGUUGUAUGAAGAUCUUUCAUCAGUGGCAGCAUUGGUAGAAGCUGAAGCUGCUGUUGGAAAUGCUGUUUAUAUGCUUCCUUCAUUCUAUAAUCAUGACUGUGCUCCAAAUGCACACAUUGUUUGGAUAGAAACUUCAGAUGCAAGAGUGAAUGAUCUCCAUGGUAUUGUAGCAGCUUUAUGCUACAUGCCUUCUGUAAUUCUGAUGUGGAAAUCAUGGGCUGAUUUCUUACUUCUCAAAGACAUUGAACAAGUUAAUUGUUUGGGGAGAAAAAAAAGACAUUUAAAAAUAGUCUAAAUACUCUUUUUUGGCCAUAGAGUAUUGGGAUUUGUAAGCAAUUGUCUACCUCUCUCAACUGAGGUUCUUUUAGUGUUCACUCGAUUACGUUGCACUUCAGAAGAGUAUACCCAGCAUAGGACCCCGUAAAAUGCUCCAGCAUCCUUUUCAUGGAGCAUGAUACCUAACUGCACUUAUCGUAUGUUCUGUAAUGUUUCUUCUUUUUUCUAUCUUCCUGAUAUGAUGGCUGGAUUUGUGGGUUAAUCUUGGGAUUAGAGACUUUAGUUUUGCCAUGAAACUAGAUCAAACAGUUAUUUCUUGUUAAGUUGCUCAAUGAUACAGCAUUUGCUGCUAUGAGUCAUUUAGUUGAAUUUCCAUCAUUGUAGAACAAUGCAUUACAUGAGAGCUAUAUAUGACAUUAUAGCAACUCUUAACUGGCAGGUUCUGGAAAAUGCAGGAAUUAAUUAACUUCGCCACUGAUCGUAAAAGUGUAGAUGAAGCCACAAAAACGAGUCGGUUAGGGAGUACAUCACGUUUUGCUGACUUUCAGUCAUGCUGAUUCUCAGUCAGGUUAGAGUCUCACUAUCUUUUAGUUGUAGUCGAUUGUAGUGGCUAAGUAAAUUCACAAUGAGGAGAUAUCAUUAUGACUGUGGAAUACUAAGAAUACAAAAUAGAAAUGCAACUAGGUAUACGGCAAGUCAGAUUGGAAGAAGAACCUUCCAUCCGUAGAGGAAUUUCUUCUGCCGCCUCCUUUCUUGUACUCAUUCAUUGAUGGGGCUUUUGAAAGUAAAUCUGCAGCUGCUUCUUUGGGCUAGAUCCAGAGAAAAAGUAUGCUACCGCCUACCAAUGAUGCGUACAAGCCUCCUGUUGGACAAAAAACGGUGGGAAAAAGGACAAUAUUUCCACUGAAAAUUUUCUUGGAAGAUCUUGUCCAAUGUAAGAUGAAGUUUGAUCUCUAGUGGAUCUUUGAGUUGGAUUUGAAUGCAAGGAUCUUUAUUCGUGUGGUAAAAGGAUAUGAUGGCAAUAUAAAGUGUGGGUUUCUCAAGAGGUAGCGUGCAUUGUGCCGACUCAAAUUGUUUGAUACCGCCGAUGAAGAGCUGCAGAUUUGCUAUGUUGAUGCUAGUAUGGUCCAUGAAGCUCGCCAAAAGCUCCUUUGUAAUGAGUUUGGAUUUAGAUGUCGUUGCCUCAAGUGUUUGUUGGGUGAUUGAUCUUUACAAUCUGCACGAGGUCGAAGGGUUUCCUUAUCUCUGUCAGCUUUUAACUUCUCUUGUACAAGGUGGAUCGAGGCAAUGCGAAUAUCCAUUUGCGUUUUUUACCAACCAAUGACAGGGACAUGAUACAAUUUCUGCUUUCAUUAUUUUUGUGCAGAUGAAAGGUGAAGUACCUUUGAAUCCGUUUCUGCUUAUUUAAGAAUGUUACUUCUGUUUGGAAUGCCUAAAGUUGACAUGAAGCUCCACUUCCACGGCAAUGCUCAAGGCUGAGCUAGUUGGAAGACAGAUUUGGUUGUCAAAACCGUACCUAACUUCUUAUAGUGAAACACGGGUUUG
Molecule: long non-coding RNA, 4205 nt
Organism: Rhododendron vialii
Lineage: Eukaryota; Viridiplantae; Streptophyta; Magnoliopsida; Ericales; Ericaceae
Exons: 3
Source: RefSeq, a predicted model, not a curated record